RNAcentral lists this ribosomal RNA (496 nucleotides) under uncultured bacterium. RNAcentral's name for it is "partial 16S ribosomal RNA". It matches the Rfam family "Bacterial small subunit ribosomal RNA", at positions 29 to 507 of the family's 1533-position model. The record is from RNAcentral.
AUGAACGCUGGCGGCGUGCCUAAUACCUGCAAGUCGAGCGAACAGACGAGGAGCUUGCUCCUCUGACGUUAGCGGCGGACGGGUGAGUAACACGUGGAUAACCUACCUAUAAGACUGGGAUAACUUCGGGAAACCGGAGCUAAUCCCGGAUAAUAUAUUGAACCGCAUGGUUCAAUAGUGAAAGACGGUUUUGCUGUCACUUAUAGGUGGAUCCGCGCCGCAUUAGCUAGUUGGUAAGGUAACGGCUUACCAAGGCAACGAUGCGUAGCCGACCUGAGAGGGUGAUCGGCCACACUGGAACUGAGACACGGUCCAGACUCCUACGGGAGGCAGCAGUAGGGAAUCUGCCGCAAUGGGCGAAAGCCUGACGGAGCAACGCCGCGUGAGUGAUGAAGGUCUUCGGAUCGUAAAACUCUGUUAUUAGGGAAGAACAAAUGUGUAGGUAACUAUGCACGUCUUGACGGUACCUAAUCAGAAAGCCACGGCUAACUACGUG